GUUACUGCUAUCGAGGUUCGACUAAGCCAUGCGAGUCGAAUGUAGCAAUACAUGGCGUACUGCUCAGUAACACGUGGAUAACCUACCCUUGAGUUGGGAAUAAACCCGGGAAACUGGGUAUAAUACCCGAUAGAUCUCGACUGCUGGAAUGCAUCGAGAUCCAAAGCUCCGGCGCUCAAGGAUGGAUCUGCGGCCUAUCAGGUAGUAGUGGGUGUAGCGUACCUACUAGCCUACGACGGGUACGGGUUGUKAGAGCAAGAGCCCGGAGAUGGAUUCUGAGACACGUAAUCCAGGCCCUACGGGGUGCAGCAGGCGCGAAAACUUUACAAUGCUGGAAACAGCSGAUAAGGGGACCUYGAGUKCCAGGUUACAAAUYUGGCCGUCGUGAUGCCYWAAAAGGCAUUGCWWWGCAAGGGSCCGGGCAAGDCCGGUGCCACCCCCCSCGGAAAMACCGGGGGCUCRAGUGGUAACCGUUAUUAUUGGGUCUAAAGGGUCUGUAGCCBBBCCGGAUAAGUCUCUUGGGAAAUCUGGCAGCUUAACUGUCAGGCUUUCAGGAGAUACUGUCUGGCUCGAGGCCGGGAGAGGUGAGAGGUACUUCAGGGGUAGGGGUGAAAUCUUGUAAUCCUUGAAGGACCACCAGUGGCGAAGGCGUCUCACCAGAACGGACCUGACGGCAAGGGACGAAAGCUAGGGGCACGAACCGGAUUAGAUACCCGGGUAGUCCUAGCCGUAAACGAUACUCGCUAGGUGUCGGCAACGGUGCGACCGUUGUCGGUGCCGUAGGGAAGCCGUGAAGCGAGCCACCUGGGAAGUACGGCCGCAAGGCUGAAACUUAAAGGAAUUGGCGGGGGAGCACCACAACGGGUGGAGCUUGCGGUUUAAUUGGAUUCAACGCCGGAAAUCUUACCGGGACCGACAGCAAUAUGAAGGCCAGGCUGAAGACUUUGCCGGAUUAGCUGAGAGGUGGUGCAUGGCCGUCGUCAGUUCGUACUGUGAAGCAUCCUGUUAAGUCAGGCAACGAGCGAGACCCA
Molecule: ribosomal RNA, 1031 nt
Filed under: uncultured archaeon 'Soyang 1Af-1100Ar'
Lineage: Archaea; Methanobacteriati; Methanobacteriota; Methanomicrobia; Methanomicrobiales
Description: bacterial SSU rRNA
Rfam family: Archaeal small subunit ribosomal RNA
Source: RNAcentral